This 800-nucleotide ribosomal RNA is filed under the name uncultured bacterium. Its description in RNAcentral is "bacterial SSU rRNA". It matches the Rfam family "Bacterial small subunit ribosomal RNA", at positions 8 to 779 of the family's 1533-position model. The record is from RNAcentral.
AGAGUUUGAUCCUGGCUCAGGAUGAACGCUGGCGGGAUGCCUAAGACAUGCAAGUCGAACGAAGGAACCCAAAGAAGAUGGAGUGCUUGCACGAAAUUGGAAAUGGACACUUCCUUAGUGGCAAACGGGUGAGUAACACGUGGGUAACCUACCUUUAAGAUGGGGAUAACAGUUGGAAACGAUUGCUAAUACCGAAUGUGAUCUACGGAUUAAAGGGGCAAAAAAGCCUCGCUUAAAGAUGGGCCUGCGGCGUAUUAGAUAGUUGGUGAGGUAAUGGCUCACCAAGUCGACGAUACGUAGCCGAGCUGAGAGGUAAAACGGCCACACUGGGACUGAGACACGGCCCAGACUCCUACGGGAGACAGCAGUUAGGAAUAUUCGUCAAUGGGGGGAACCCUGAACGAGCAAUGCCGCGUGAGUGAAGAAGGUCCUCUGGAUUGUAAAACUCUGUUGUAUGGAAAGAAUAGUUAAAUUAGGAAAUGAAUUUAAAAGAGACGGUACCAUACGAGGAAGCCACGGCUAACUACGUGCCAGCAGCCGCGGUAAAACGUAGGUGGCGAGCGUUAUCCGGAUUUAUUGGGCGUAAAGCGUCCGCAGCCGGCACUUUAAGUCUGUAAUAAAAGCCUGGAGCUCAACUCCAGUUCGUUACAGAAACUGAAAGGCUAGAGUGUGGUAGAGGCAAGUGGAAUUUCUAGUGUAGCGGUAGAAUGCGUAGAUAUUAGAAGGAACACUAGUGGCGAAGGCGACUUGCUGGGCAAAACUGACGGUCAGGGACGAAAGCGUGGGGAGCAAAUAGGAUU